AUACGGAAGGUCCGGGCGUUAUCCGGAUUUAUUGGGUUUAAAGGGAGCGCAGGCGGAGAUGCAAGCGUGACGUCAAAUUUCGGGGCUCAACCCCGUCUCGCGUCGCGAACUGCGUCCCUUGGUUGCGGGAAGGGGAGGCGGAACUCGUGGUGUAGCGGGGAAAUGCAUAGAUAUCACGAAGAACUCCGAUCGCGAAGGCAGCCUCCCGGUCCGUCAACGACGCUCAUGCUCGAAGGUGCGGGUAUCAAACAGGAUUAGAUACCCUGGUAGUCCGCACAGUAAACGAUGGACACCCGCGGUUUGGCCUGUAUGGCUGAGCCGCCAAGCGAAAGCGUUAAGUGUCCCACCUGGGGAGUACGCCGGCAACGGUGAAACUCAAAGGAAUUGACGGGG
This 393-nucleotide ribosomal RNA is filed under the name uncultured bacterium. RNAcentral describes it as "partial 16S ribosomal RNA". It matches the Rfam family "Bacterial small subunit ribosomal RNA", at positions 523 to 918 of the family's 1533-position model. The record is from RNAcentral.